Molecule: ribosomal RNA, 497 nt
Filed under: uncultured bacterium
Lineage: Bacteria
Description: partial 16S ribosomal RNA
Rfam family: Bacterial small subunit ribosomal RNA
Source: RNAcentral
GAUGAACGCUGGCGGCGUGCCUAAUACAUGCAAGUCGAGCGAACGGACGAGAAGCUUGCUUCUCUGAUGUUAGCGGCGGACGGGUGAGUAACACGUGGAUAACCUACCUAUAAGACUGGGAUAACUUGCGGAAACCGGAGCUAAUACCGGAUGAUAUUUUGAACCGCAUGGUUCAAAAGUGAAAGACGGUCUUGCUGUCACUUAUAGAUGGAUCCGCGCUGCAUUAGCUAGUUGGUAAGGUAACGGCUUACCAAGGCAACGAUGCAUAGCCGACCUGAGAGGGUGAUCGGCCACACUGGAACUGAGACACGGUCCAGACUCCUACGGGAGGCAGCAGUAGGGAAUCUUCCGCAAUGGGCGAAAGCCUGACGGAGCAACGCCGCGUGAGUGAUGAAGGUCUUCGGAUCGUAAAACUCUGUUAUUAGGGAAGAACAUAUGUGUAAGUAACUGUGCACAUCUUGACGGUACCUAAUCAGAAAGCCACGGCUAACUACGUG